GUAGUAACAGCAGUAGUAACAGAAGUAAUACCACAGUUACAUUCCCUAUCUCAGACAUAAAUAAUAACACAAACAAAGAUAUCAACACUGGUCUUAAUACAACGAUCGAUAAUAAUAUACAUAAGAAAAAUGCAACAGACUUUACCUAUUCUUAUGAAAAAAAAUGUCAACAUAUCGAAUUAUUGUGCGAUAUACUUUUAAAUAUUAGCCAUUUUAACAUAAGUAAAAAUCAUAAAAAAAUAAAAAACUUAUACGAAUGUAUUAACAAAUUAUUAACAAUUCCUAUUUUUUUAAAUAGUCCUGUUAAUAAUAUGGUGAAUUUAUUAAUGUGUUCAUCCAACAUAUAUUUCAAAACAAAUGAUAAUUAUAUUUUUAAUAUAUAUAUUAAAAUAUUACAAAUAUUACACACAAAAAAAACAGAAAUAAAUGGACAUCAUUUUAAUAAGCUAGCCAUAGCUAUAACUCCAAUUCUUAAUGAAGAAAAUAAAAUAAUAAAAAAAUAUUCUGAACUGUUAAUAUUUUUUGUUAAAAAUUCUAUUGUUCCUUUAAGGUCAUGCAUUUUUUUAUUACAAAAUAUUAUGAAAAAUGUAAACAUAAAAUUAAAUAAUGAAUUAUGCAUAUUACAAUUAACUAUUAUUAACAGAAUAAAAGAAUAUUUUGAUCAUUUAUUUUUUUAUUUUAAAUCACAACAUGAAACAGGGUAUGAUAUAAUUCCUUCUAUCAAACCUGAACAAAACAACAACAUGUAUGAUCAUAUAGAACAUGACCAUUUCAGAAAAUUUAUAUUAUUACAUUCAAUAAAUGGAAACACCUUAAUAUGUAUAAUAACUAGCUUAUCAAAUAUAAUACAACAAACUGAAUAUGGUUCAAAAAUAAAAAAAGAUGCCCUUACAUUAUUACAAACUAUGCUCAAUUACAUUCCAAUAAAAUAUUUUGAUAAAUACCCUAAAAAGUUUAUUCAUUCAGAAUUUCUACAAGCUCUUUCACCUCAGCAUGAACAGCUUAAGAAGGUACUUACAAGUAAAAUGUAGAAUUUGUAUAUAUAUCUAAAACAUGG
Molecule: long non-coding RNA, 1057 nt
Filed under: Piliocolobus tephrosceles (Ugandan red Colobus)
Lineage: Eukaryota; Metazoa; Chordata; Mammalia; Primates; Cercopithecidae
Description: lncRNA (ENSPTEG00000012883.1)
Source: RNAcentral